AUAAUUUUCCAGCUUUGAUUAAGUCUUCAACGUCUUUUGCAAGACGGCAAUUGGUUUAAUAGCGUAGGGGGAUCCAAAAUAAAAAGCUUUCGGUAACUCCAAGUCAGUAUGAUCAGGCAUGUCCGUGGAGGGUCGGUAGUGCGAGGCACACUUAAAACCACUAUCUCCUUAAUUUCGGACAAUUCUAAGACAUCACACUGAACUUGGAUGAGCCUAGUUGAACAAUUGAUGAUGAAAAAUCCGCUAUAGGGUAGAAGACUUAACCGGAAACACGUGGGCGAUCCUCCUUGAGGAUGCAGUGCCAUAAGUCACCUUCAAAGGAAGGGACCAAAAUAGGCACAAUAUGCCAUGUUUCUAAGGACGAUGUAAGUGUACAUCUUGAUUGUAAAUCAAUAUGAACCAUAAGAGGAGAAUAGUUUCACUUCGAAAAAUUCUCAAGGCAUUCAUUAUUGCUAAUGUGAGUACAUCGAGAUCUCAAAUAGACAAAGGACGUCGAUACAACGCCUUAGUACAUAUAACUUGGAACGAAAAUCAAUGUCUAGCCGAUGACAUCAAAGUCAUGGGUAGCUAGAGUAGGAUCCGAAUCUUUGAAAUUCGCGAUCAUGAGGAUGACGUUCUUGUCCUCAUAUUGAUUUUCCAUACCUUUUUGUAUGCAUUCACAAUUUAAAGGAGCUUAACAAUCUUGAACCAGCGAUCCGAAGAUCCACAACGGUUGCAUUAAUGUCAUGAGCUGACGUGAGUAGUUUUGACAAAAUGGUGUCUAAACCGGGAGUGUCGCUAUUAGACCGGCAACACCUCCCCCUCUUUUCUAGACAUCGGCACGACGUUUUCUGCCGUUGCCAUGACCCAUGUUGUUGUCCCCACAUUAGGGGAUAUCCCAAAUAAGUUUAUCACAUUAGCGUAUAUACAAUUCCUGUUUGUAUGAUCAAAAUCAAGUCUCGUUGGUAAUUCCACACCAACUUGGAGGACCUAGAGAACUUGAUGAUGAUCGAAUCCGCUAAAGAUAUGGAUCAUGAUGCCACAAAAGAUCAUCGACAAUAUGUAGUCAAUUAAGGUGGUAAGCAAUCCACUUGACUAAUAACUCAACAAG
RNAcentral lists this long non-coding RNA (1090 nucleotides) under Fragaria vesca (wild strawberry). RNAcentral's name for it is "long non-coding RNA (FVES_LNC004920)". Lineage: Eukaryota; Viridiplantae; Streptophyta; Magnoliopsida; Rosales; Rosaceae. The record is from RNAcentral.